This 250-nucleotide ribosomal RNA is filed under the name uncultured bacterium. Its description in RNAcentral is "partial 16S ribosomal RNA". It matches the Rfam family "Bacterial small subunit ribosomal RNA", at positions 524 to 773 of the family's 1533-position model. The record is from RNAcentral.
UACAGAGACCUCAAGCGUUAUCCGGAUUCAUUGGGCGUAAAGCGUCUGUAGGGGGUUUGAUUAGUCUCCCGUUAAAGCACGGGGCUUAACUCCGUAAGCGCGGGGGAAACGGUCAAACUUGAGUGCGCAAGAGGCAAGCGGAACUCACGGUGUAGCAGUGAAAUGCGUUGAUAUCGUGGGGAACACCAAAGGCGAAGGCAGCUUGCUGGGGCGUUACUGACCCUGAGAGACGAAAGCGUGGGUAGCGAAU